UGUGUGAUAUUUGGCUUUACUUUAUAAAAAUACACAACUUAAAUACAUAUGACACUCUGUAUACAAGACAUAAAGAACUCGUAGACUCAACAUUUUUAGUUAUUUCAAGAGAAAGCAGAUAUGUAAAUUACCUUGUAAGAGCAAAGAGUUUAUUGAUAGACUCUGCAUUCAGUCAGAGGGGCAGCAGGCCCAGGGAGCCAUCAAUGCAGGAAGCUCUCCCAACUGCUCAGCUUUCCAAUAAAAGGCGCGCACGGCGAGGGCCGCUAUUGCACAGCCUACUAUUGCACUGCUCAUUAGAUGCAGCCUAACUUUUCCACGUCACAGGGAAAAGCUUCUGUCUUCUCCAGCGACGUUCAAUGAAAAAAGCAAUGUCCAAACAGCAUUCACUGUGUCUUAAAAUUGUGCUCCAUACCAAGAAUGAGAAGUAUGAACCCCUUCUUCACUUUGCAACCUUCCAAUGGAAGUUAGCUCUACUGUGCGUCUAAAUUUAUUCUCAGGGCCAGGGAUUUAGCUCAGUGGUUUUGCCACCUGCUGCGCAAGCGUAAGGACCUGAGUUCGAUCCCCGGUACCAAAAAUUAAAAAAUAAAAAUAAAUUCAUUCUCAAAAGUUUUACGAAAGCAUUAGCAUACUUAAGAGUGAGCUGGACAGGGUGCAGUGGUGAAGGAAGCGGUAUUCCCAGGCCUACGGAGCCUCUGUGUUAGAGGGACACUGUCACUGUCAAAGGCAGUUUGCAUCCAGCCCCUGGCACCCCGCUUUCUGAGGGGAGACAGAAACCCCUCCCUCCACCCGUGGCUCUGUCUCCGCUCUCUGUACAUUGGCCACUUUACUAAUUCAGCACAGGUGCCGCUGGUUUGCUCUCGUGAUCCUUCAGGCAUUUAGCUGCCUUCUCUAUGGCUCAUUUAACUAAUAGUGAAUUAGGUACUAGUGCACAGGUAUAAAGAAAGCUUUACCACUUGAGAAUUCAAUACAUGAGACUAUAUCAGUGUAAGUUUCCUGAGAUAAAUGCAAGCCUUAAAAUGGUGUGCAAGCUAUAGAAUUCUAGCAGUUUAUCUUGGGUAGCAAUACGAAGCCUCCCAAGUCUGGACUUUUAAAUUAAUAGGCUAAUUAACCCAAAGAUACAUUUAUAUGAAGAAAUAAAAUGACAGUGCUAAAGCAAAAGAAAUAUUGACAGUUGAGAGGCGAACAGAGAAACGGGAGGAGGGAGUAUUUUAAAGUGCUUAGGGAGGCUGGAAGAUUAAGUUGAAAAUGCCCCCAGGGAUUUCUAACAAGUUUAAAACACAUUACUUCUUGGUGACUCAGAUGUAGAAGACAUGGGCUUUUGUUAAUAAUAGCUGUUCAAACUUUUCAUUCUUUCUGAAAAACAGAAUUCCUUAUACAAAGUUUUUAGCCAUUGAAAUUAUUCUGCUCGUUGUGAUUCUCACUGAUGUAUUUUUGAAAUCCUAACAGGCUGGAGAACUUUUGAUAAGACUGAACUACAAAGCACACAUCUGCACCAAGAAUUUAAAUUAAUGCAUAGAGAUCAGUAAAAUUUUGCAUAAAGUUAGUACCAAAAGACCUUUAAAUUGCACAUCAUGC
RNAcentral lists this long non-coding RNA (1575 nucleotides) under Heterocephalus glaber (naked mole-rat). Its description in RNAcentral is "lncRNA (ENSHGLG00100034192.1)". The record is from RNAcentral. Lineage: Eukaryota; Metazoa; Chordata; Mammalia; Rodentia; Bathyergidae.